Molecule: transfer RNA, 73 nt
Filed under: Anolis ricordii (Haitian green anole)
Lineage: Eukaryota; Metazoa; Chordata; Lepidosauria; Squamata; Anolidae
Description: tRNA-Asx
Source: RNAcentral
CGAAUAGAAGCCCGCUGGUUUGGGUAGUUAACUGUUAAUUAAUUUGUCGUGGGAUCGAAGCCCGCCUAUUCAG